Octopus sinensis (East Asian common octopus) is the source of this 205-nucleotide long non-coding RNA. RefSeq lists it as uncharacterized. NCBI's taxonomy places the organism in Eukaryota, Metazoa, Mollusca, Cephalopoda, Octopoda, Octopodidae. The record is from RefSeq and is a predicted model, not a curated record. The transcript has 3 exons.
CAACGACUCGGAAACUUCGCCUACAAAACCUCAAAAUAACACUCAUUGAACGUCAAUACCCACCCGCACUUAUAGACCAUAGAAUUAAACGUGCCAAAAUAUUGGACACAAACACACUAAGGACAACAAAACAAAACACCACACCUCACUUUAAAUCACUCCCACACAUAUCAACCCACAACCCCAGAUGCAUUACACCUGUUUU